RNAcentral lists this ribosomal RNA (254 nucleotides) under uncultured bacterium. Its description in RNAcentral is "partial 16S ribosomal RNA". It matches the Rfam family "Bacterial small subunit ribosomal RNA", at positions 524 to 777 of the family's 1533-position model. The record is from RNAcentral.
UACGAAGGGGGCUAGCGUUGUUCGGAAUUACUGGGCGUAAAGCGCGCGUAGGCGGUGAUCUUUGUCAGAGGUGAAAGCCCGGGGCUCAACUCCGGAAUUGCCUUUGAAACGGGAUCGCUUGAGUCCGAGAGAGGAUGGCGGAAUUCCUAGUGUAGAGGUGAAAUUCGUAGAUAUUAGGAAGAACACCGGUGGCGAAGGCGGCCAUCUGGCUCGGUACUGACGCUCAGGCGCGAAAGCGUGGGGAGCAAACAGGG